Long non-coding RNA from Oncorhynchus mykiss (rainbow trout), 1732 nucleotides. Lineage: Eukaryota; Metazoa; Chordata; Actinopteri; Salmoniformes; Salmonidae. The record is from Ensembl.
UACCACAGUAGCCUCUGAUAUGUGUAUUUAUACUACCACAGUACCCUCUGAUAUGUGUAUUUAUACUACCACAGUAGCCUCUGAUGUGUAUUUAUACUACCACAGUACCCUCAGAUAUGUGUAUUUAUACUACCACAGUACCCUCUGUUAUGUGUAUUUAUACUACCACAGUACCCUCUGAUAUGUGUAUUUAUACUACCACAGUACCCUCUGAUAUGUGUAUUUAUACUACCACAGUACCCUCUGAUAUGUGUUUUUAUACUAUCACAGUACCCUCUGAUAUGUGUAUUUAUACUACCACAGUACCCUCUGAUAUGUGUAUUUAUACUACCACAGUACCCUCUGAUAUGUGUAUUUAUACUACCACAGUACCCAACCCUCUGAUAUGUGUAUUUAUACUACCACAGUACCCUCUGAUAUGUGUAUUUAUACUACCACAGUACCCUCUGAUAUGUGUAUUUAUACUACCACAGUACCCUCUGAUAUGUGUAUUUAUACUACCACAGUACCCUCUGAUAUGUGUAUUUAUACUACCACAGUACCCUCUGAUAUGUGUAUUUAUAAUACCACAGUACCCUCUGAUAUGUGUAUUUAUACUACCACAAUACCCUCUGAUAUGUGCACUUAUACUACCACAGUACCCUCUGAUAUGUGUAUUUAUACUACCACAGUACCCUCUGAUAUGUGUAUUUAUACUACCACAGUACCCUCUGAUAUGUGUAUUUAUACUACCACAAUACCCUCUGAUAUGUGCACUUAUACUACCACAGUACCCUCUGAUAUGUGCACUUAUACUACCACAGUACCCUCUAUGUGUAUUUAUACUACCACAGUACCCUCUGAUAUGUGUAUUUAUACUACCACAGUACCCAACCCUCUGAUAUGUGUAUUUAUACUACCACAGUACCCUCUGAUAUGUGUAUUUAUACUACCACAGUACCCUCUGAUAUGUGUAUUUAUACUACCACAGUACCCUCUGAUAUGUGUAUUUAUACUACCACAGUACCCUCUGAUAUGUGUAUUUAUACUACCACAGUACCCUCUGAUAUGUGUAUUUAUACUACCACAGUACCCUCUGAUAUGUGUAUUUAUACUACCACAAUACCCUCUGAUAUGUGCACUUAUACUACCACAGUACCCUCUGAUAUGUGUAUUUAUACUACCACAGUACCCUCUGAUAUGUGUAUUUAUACUACCACAGUACCCUCUGAUAUGUGUAUUUAUACUACCACAAUACCCUCUGAUAUGUGCACUUAUACUACCACAGUACCCUCUGAUAUGUGCACUUAUACUACCACAGUACCCUCUGAUAUGUGUAUUUAUACUACCACAGUACCCAACCCUCUGAUAUGUGUAUUUAUACUACCACAGUACCCUCUGAUAUGUGUAUUUAUACUACCACAGUACCCUCUGAUAUGUGUAUUUAUACUACCACAGUACCCUCUGAUAUGUGUAUUUAUACUACCACAGUACCCUCUGAUAUGUGUUUUUAUACUACCACAGUACCCUCUGAUAUGUGUAUUUAUACUACCACAGUACCCUCUGAUAUGUGUAUUUAAACUACCACAGUACACUCUGAUAUGUGUAUUUAUACUACCACAGUACCCUCUGAUAUGUGUAUUUAUACUACCACAGUACCCUCUGAUAUGUGUAUUUAUACUACCACAGUACCCUCUGAUGUGUGUAUUUAUACUACCACAGUACGUUCUGAUAUGUGUAUUCAUACUACCAC